GAUGAACGCUGGCGGCGUGCCUAAUACAUGCAGGUCGAGCGAACGGACGAGAAGCUUGCUUCUCUGAUGUUAGCGGCGGACGGGUGAGUAACACGUGGAUAACCUACCUAUAAGACUGGGAUAACUUCGGGAAACCGGAGCUAAUACCGGAUGAUAUUUUGAACCGCAUGGUUCAAAAGUGAAAGACGGUCUUGCUGUCACUUAUAGAUGGAUCCGCGCUGCAUUAGCUAGUUGGUAAGGUAAUGGCUUACCAAGGCAACGAUGCAUAGCCGACCUGAGAGGGUGAUCGGCCACACUGGAACUGAGACACGGUCCAGACUCCUACGGGAGGCAGCAGUAGGGAAUCUUCCGCAAUGGGCGAAAGCCUGACGGAGCAACGCCGCGUGAGUGAUGAAGGUCUUCGGAUCGUAAAACUCUGUUAUUAGGGAAGAACAUAUGUGUAAGUAACUGUGCACAUCUUGACGGUACCUAAUCAGAAAGCCACGGCUAACUACGUG
Molecule: ribosomal RNA, 497 nt
Filed under: uncultured bacterium
Lineage: Bacteria
Description: partial 16S ribosomal RNA
Rfam family: Bacterial small subunit ribosomal RNA
Source: RNAcentral